RNAcentral lists this long non-coding RNA (1785 nucleotides) under Nicotiana tabacum (common tobacco). RNAcentral describes it as "long non-coding RNA (NTAB_LNC018973)". The record is from RNAcentral. Lineage: Eukaryota; Viridiplantae; Streptophyta; Magnoliopsida; Solanales; Solanaceae.
AACUGCUGGACAUUUUUGCAAUAAUACACAAAUGGCACUGUUCACUACAUAAAUGUUCCAACCCGACACAUUAUCAAUCAAUACCUUGUAACUAAUUUGCUGUGAGGAUAACGACACUUUCAAAUAUAGCCAAAACUUGUGCAUUUCCUUAACUCAUAUAUAUUCCAUCUUUCAAUACCCCCCUUGCCCACAUUUCAUGCUUCUUCCCUGAUCCAAUUCCUCGUGAUUUAGGAAUAGUUUCUUGUUCCCUUAGCCAAAAAGAAGAAAAAAAAAACUCUUAAUUCUUAUCAUCACAAGUAAGACCCUUGAGUUUGUGAAAAUAUUAACUCAAGCUAGCUAGCUUUAUUAUUUGUCAUGAAACUUAAGGCUAGCUUCACUUCCAUUUUCUUCCUCCUACUCCUCUUGAUGGCACCUUGUUCUUCUUCAGGUAUGUUCGUCCUACUCCUCCUGAUGGCACCUCGUUCUUUUUUAUUUAUGAUGAACCUUGAGUCAUCAAAGCUUUCAUGACUCGGCCUGGCCCGUACGCGACUGGCGCUUCAAAAGGCGAAACUCUCGGCCAUAGUUUGGCAACCGAUCAUUAGUAGGGGUCUUUAAUCUUUUGAUUAGAGUAGGGGUCACGAGAGAGCAGAGCUACCGCCUGCCAUAGUUACGAGUCUGUUUAUAGUCGCGACUGUUGUCAUAGUCAACAAGGUUGAAAUUUCUAGGAAAAAACUUCGAAUUGGGAGGGCGAUCCUCCCAAUGAACUGGUCGUACCCCAAACCAACACAUGUGAACAAAUAGAGUAUAGUAGGGUGCUUAAGAGAACCAUGUCGAAAGAACUCGACAAAAUGAACCCGUAACUUGGGGAGAAGGGGCGCCUUCCUAUCUUUUGAUUAGGAAAGUGACACAUACCAGAGGUAACUGAUUUACUAUAAUAAUAAAUAGAGUCAAUGUGACUCCUCCAUGGGAAGAGCCACUUCCUUCUUGCUUGAUUGGGGGGAUGCCCCUUGUUGGUCCCGAGGGACGGAGGAGGCUAGGUUAGUUGUGGUAUUAUUCUCUUUGGACGAAGUCCGCAUAAUUUUCUACAAAUGUUCUUCAAAUACCUAAUAUGUAGCUUCCCAAUCUUUUCAGCAACCAAUCAAUAUGGGAUUUUGUCAUGUACGUGAGAUGUUUAUGAAUAAUAUAAAUGGUGUUCUCUUGAUAGGGAGAAGGAAUUUGACAAACAUGGAUUCGGAUAUUUAUAUCGAUUAUAGAGGUCCUGAAACUCAUCCUCACAAUCCUUCACCAAAUCGAUCCAUGGGACGACAUAAUGGUCGCAAAUCUAAAGGCAUUAGAGCUACUAAGCCUGGCCUAACUCAUGUGAGAAAUCUCUCUUCCUACUGGCUACUACACACGAAGUAGCAUUAGAGCUAUGUUCAUUUUUUAAGUUUGAUUUAAUACAUGGUUUUGUUGCAGGGGAAGAAAAAUCAUGGAUGAGUUGGUAUGAAAGUUUGAUUUAGUUGAGUGUUUUUGAAACUUGGAAGGAGCAAUCAUCCAGGGUGUGUUUCAUUAAUUCUAGGUUAAACGAAGCAAAAGAAAGAUGAGUUAAAAUUUCUUUGUUUUCAUCAUUGGAAUAUGGUAAUAUGGAGAAUGUUUCUUAAAUCUGCAUGCAGAUGAAUAUAUGUAAUUAAAUAUGAAAAGUAGUACAUUGAGUUUUUUCUAUUUAAAAUAUAUCUACUACCAUAAUUUGUGUAAAUGAGGAUGUGAUUUUAUUUGGUUCAAUUGCCUUUAUUGUUGAUCAAUAAAAUCAUUAGAAUUGUGUAUCAA